GAUGAACGCUAGCGGCAGGCUUAAUACAUGCAAGUCGAGGGGUAGCAAGAUUGUAGCAAUACAAUUGUUGACGACCGGCAAACGGGUGCGGAACACGUACACAACCUUCCUACAAGUGGGGAAUAGCCCAGAGAAAUUUGGAUUAAUACCCCGUAACAUAGCGAUGUGGCAUCACAUUGCUAUUAUAGCUUCGGCGCUUGUUGAUGGGUGUGCGGCUGAUUAGAUAGUUGGCGGGGUAACGGCCCACCAAGUCUACGAUCAGUAGCUGAUGUGGGGGCAAGAUCAGCCACACGGGCACUGAGACACGGGCCCGACUCCUACGGGAGGCAGCAGUAAGGAAUAUUGGACAAUGGACGCAAGUCUGAUCCAGCCAUGCCGCGUGAAGGAUUAAGGUCCUCUGGAUUGUAAACUUCUUUUAUAAGGGACGAAAAAAGGUCUUUCUAGAUCGUCUGACGGUACCUUAUGAAUAAGCACCGGCUAACUCCGUGCCAGCCGCCGCGGUAA
RNAcentral lists this ribosomal RNA (504 nucleotides) under uncultured bacterium. RNAcentral describes it as "partial 16S ribosomal RNA". It matches the Rfam family "Bacterial small subunit ribosomal RNA", at positions 28 to 523 of the family's 1533-position model. The record is from RNAcentral.